AACGACUCUCGGCAACGGAUAUCUCGGCUCUCGCAUCGAUGAAGAACGUAGCGAAAUGCGAUACUUGGUGUGAAUUGCAGAAUCCCGCGAACCAUCGAGUCUUUGAACGCAAGUUGCGCCCGAAGCCAUCAGGCCGAGGGCACGUCUGGCUGGGUGUCACGCAAC
RNAcentral lists this ribosomal RNA (165 nucleotides) under Sindora bruggemanii. Its description in RNAcentral is "5.8S ribosomal RNA". It matches the Rfam family "5.8S ribosomal RNA". From Rfam's summary of the family: 5.8S ribosomal RNA (5.8S rRNA) is a component of the large subunit of the eukaryotic ribosome. Lineage: Eukaryota; Viridiplantae; Streptophyta; Magnoliopsida; Fabales; Fabaceae. The record is from RNAcentral. RNAcentral also lists the same sequence under 2 other names.